UGUUCGGUAGUACAAAUCAUUAUUUUAACAGCAAACUUAAUUAUAUGAAAUAGCAUUCCGGUGGAAUUUACAUUGUGUGCAUCAUUUUCUUGAAUUUUAUUAGAACCAUUUGACAUUUGGUAUUCUUGUAAGUAAUAAGAAUCAACACAACACGAUGCUCUGGGAGAGUAUACAAAAAGUUUUAAUGGUGAUUUUCGCCUGGCGACUUAUUUGUGGAGUUGCAGUUUGUUACCGAAACUUCCUCGUAUAUCAUAUUCUUAAGAGGAGCACCAAGAAAUCUGCAACGGACUUCGUGAUUUUGUGCAACUUGUUUUCAGAUGGACUAUAUGGGGCUCAAAUGGUGUUGUCAUUCGCUUUCGUUCUUAUUCAGUACGUGAUGGCUAAAUUUGGGCUCUUUCCUGACUUCCCUUCUUGGAAUGUUGGAGUACACUUGUUCAACGGACUUCUCCUUUGCUUUGAUGAGUUCUUAACUCUUUUUUCAUUGCUCAUGCUCUUUUUGAUGACGAUGAACCGCUACUUUGCAAUUUUGAGUCCUCAUCGGUAUAAAUCGGUAUUCCGUAGAAGCAAUAUGCGUAACUUUAUGAUCAUGAUACUUCUACUGGUAACAUUCCAAUUCACUAUCAUGUUGACGCCUUAUAUUUUCUUCAUUAUUUUCGAAGUAGAUUAUCUAGAACCUUCAGCUUCUGGUAUAGUUUUCAACGACUUUGGAUAUCUUUGUUACGAAUGUUGCGACUUCAAAUAUGACUUUCGUUUGAUAAGUUAUAACGUUUGGUCGCAGAUCAAGAUGAUACUGGUGGUGCUGCUGUCUAUUUUAAUGGUCGUCGUCUAUGUCCGGGUUUCGAAUGUGUUCAAACAGAGUUUGUGGGCUCCUUUGCUCAGGCCAUUUUCGAGAAUUCCUCUUUGUCAAAAGAAAGAGCAAAUCGAAUUAGAAAAAAGUGGCGAUUCUCAAAUUGACAACACGAAUUCAACUCGGUUCUCCGAAGGUCAAAUGAUCGAAACUGUAAGCGUGGACGACACGUCAAAAUGUGCACUCAAUUCAGACGAUUCCCAUGCAAGCCUGAAAGAAGCAGCCGAGAAGAAAAGAUUCGAGCAGCAGAGAAAAAUUACUCUGACUUUCUUUUAUGUCGGAGUUUUCUUCAUUUUUGUCGCCUUGCCGAGUUCCAUGUUUAUGGCGACUUCAACGAUGCGACUUAAUAUCUUGAUGUGUGAAGACAGCUACACAUACGACGUCGAACAAGUGCAGAUGAUGAUUUUCAUCUCCUUUCAAGCAUUGUACGGGGCAGUGUUUUUAUUGAACCCAUUUCUGUAUUCUUUUCGCCAUCCUUACAUACGAACCAAACUGAAGAACAGGAAAGGACUUCGCUAUUAUUACAGACAACUUUUUUGCAGCCUCUGUUCAAGGAACUCGGAAAUAAGCAACAGCCAGUCAAUUCGGAGUAGACAAGAAUCACUGAAUAAUUAAGAGCAAAAAGUUGGGACAGACAGAAUUAAUUUAAA
This is a long non-coding RNA of Symsagittifera roscoffensis, 1497 nucleotides long. RefSeq lists it as uncharacterized. NCBI's taxonomy places the organism in Eukaryota, Metazoa, Xenacoelomorpha, Acoela, Convolutidae. The record is from RefSeq and is a predicted model, not a curated record. The transcript is spliced from 3 exons.